Nanorana parkeri is the source of this 459-nucleotide non-coding RNA. The record is from the annotation of a RefSeq genome assembly. Lineage: Eukaryota; Metazoa; Chordata; Amphibia; Anura; Dicroglossidae.
AACACAGAGACAAUGAAGACUUUAUUUAGCUUUCUUAUAUUACUAACAUAUUUUUCAGAUGUCCAGUCUUCAGCACAACUUACCCAGUCUGAUCCAGUGGCGAUAAAACCGGGAAAUUCCCACACACUGACCUGUAAAGCUUCUGGAUUCAACUUUGCUGGCUUUUGGAUGGCUUGGGUCAGGCAGCUUCCUAAUGGACAACUGCAAUGGUUGUGUGAGAUUCACCCUGAUAGUAGCACCAAAAACUAUAUUGAUUCUAUUAAAGGAAGAUUCACAGUCUCCAGAGAUAACAAUAAUAACAUGCUAAAUCUGAAAAUGGACAACAUGAAAACUGAAGACACUGCCGUGUAUUACUGUGCAAGAGACACACUGACUGGAAAUAUAUCUUCCGUUUCACAAAAACUAACAGCUGCCUUUCAUAUUCUAUCAGUAGAUGGCAGCACAAAUUUAAAAUUGUAA